Molecule: long non-coding RNA, 518 nt
Organism: Eptesicus fuscus (big brown bat)
Lineage: Eukaryota; Metazoa; Chordata; Mammalia; Chiroptera; Vespertilionidae
Exons: 2
Source: RefSeq, a predicted model, not a curated record
GCCCUCGGGCCGCUGCGGUCACAGAGCUGGGAGGGGUCGGGCCCGGCCGCUUGGGCGGGAAAUGCGGGCGGCGUCCCACACAAAGACCCCGGGCCUCCCGCACGGACGCGGGCACGGCAGCCCCCUCCGGCGCCCUGGUUGGGCUCAUCCUCGUGGCAAACCCGGAUGCAGCUCAUGAGUAUUGAGGUUCCAGGCUCUGGACCGAAGGCUGUGGGGCCCGGACCGGAGCCUGCACUGAGCUGCGCCUUGCUCCUGCCGUGCACGGAAAAAGGAGAAAAAAGGCCACGUGCUGACCUGGGGGCUCAGGGAAGGCCUGCCUGGCGGUUUUGCAAACUCAGACCUAAAGCAACCUCAAGGGAUGGCCUGGAAUUAAACAUUUACCUAAAAGCAGUUUACAGCGGGCAGUCCUGUCCCGGGCCAGUAUUUUCCCUACAAAGAACGACUUCGCAUCUUUCCGGAGCCUGUUGUCUUUCUGCAUCUAAGACAGUUUGGCUCAAAUAAACUCAGAAUUCUUUACA